Molecule: ribosomal RNA, 429 nt
Filed under: Verrucomicrobiota bacterium
Lineage: Bacteria; Pseudomonadati; Verrucomicrobiota
Description: Verrucomicrobia bacterium partial 16S ribosomal RNA
Rfam family: Bacterial small subunit ribosomal RNA
Source: RNAcentral
UAGGGAAUCUUCCGCAAUGGACGAAAGUCUGACGGAGCAACGCCGCGUGAGUGAAGAAGGAUUUCGGUUCGUAAAACUCUGUUGUUAGGGAAGAAAAAAUGUAUAGUAACUAUAUACAAAAGAGACGGUACCUAACCAGAAAGCCACGGCUAACUACGUGCCAGCAGCCGCGGUAAUACGUAGGUGGCAAGCGUUGUCCGGAAUUAUUUGGCGUAAAGCGCGCGCAGGUGGUUUAGAAAGUCUGAUGUGAAAGCCCACGGCUCAACCGUGGAGGGUCAUUGGAAACUAAUAAACUUGAGUGCAGGAGAGAAAAGUGGAAUUCCUAGUGUAGCGGUGAAAUGCGUAGAGAUUAGGAGGAACACCGGUGGCGAAAGCGGCUAUCUGGACAGUAACUGACGCUGAGGCGCGAAAGCGUGGGGAGCAAACAGG